CUCUCGGCAUGCCUUAGUACGGCGAGUGAAGCGGCAAAAGCUCAAAUUUGAAAUCUGGCACCUUCGGUGUCCGAGUUGUAAUUUGAAGAAGGUAACUUUGGAGUUGGCUCUUGUCUAUGUUCCUUGGAACAGGACGUCACAGAGGGUGAGAAUCCCGUGCGAUGAGAUGCCCAAUUCUAUGUAAAGUGCUUUCGAAGAGUCGAGUUGUUUGGGAAUGCAGCUCUAAGUGGGUGGUAAAUUCCAUCUAAAGCUAAAUAUUGGCGAGAGACCGAUAGCGAACAAGUACAGUGAUGGAAAGAUGAAAAGAACUUUGAAAAGAGAGUGAAAAAGUACGUGAAAUUGUUGAAAGGGAAGGGCUUGAGAUCAGACUUGGUAUUUUGCGAUCCUUUCCUUCUUGGUUGGGUUCCUCGCAGCUUACUGGGCCAGCAUCGGUUUGGAUGGUAGGAUAAUGACUAAGGAAUGUGGCUCUACUUCGGUGGAGUGUUAUAGCCUUGGUUGAUACUGCCUGUCUAGACCGAGGACUGCGUCUUUUGACUAGGAUGUUGGCAUAAUGAUCUUAAGCCACCCGUCUAAAAAUGAAAACCAAAAAAAUUUGGCCUUCUUUUUUUGAACUUAAGGAAUGUUUUGGCCAUAAAAGGAAUUUUUAAAACCCCCCCCCUUUUUACAAACCCCGCGCUCCCACAAUAAAAACU
This 692-nucleotide ribosomal RNA is filed under the name Debaryomyces hansenii. RNAcentral describes it as "partial large subunit ribosomal RNA". The stretch from base 1 to 579 matches the Rfam family "Eukaryotic large subunit ribosomal RNA", at positions 67 to 664 of the family's 3401-position model. The record is from RNAcentral. Lineage: Eukaryota; Fungi; Ascomycota; Pichiomycetes; Serinales; Debaryomycetaceae.